This 924-nucleotide long non-coding RNA is filed under the name Mytilus galloprovincialis (Mediterranean mussel). Lineage: Eukaryota; Metazoa; Mollusca; Bivalvia; Mytilida; Mytilidae. The record is from RNAcentral.
UGCCCCACUCCCACUAUCAUUUUCCAUGUUCAAUGGACCGUGAAAUUGGAUAAAAAAUAUAAUUAGGCAUUAAAAUUAGAAAGAUAAUAUCAUAGGAAACAUGUGUACUAAGUUUCAAGUUGAUUGGACUUCAACUUCAUCAAAAACUACCUUGACCAAAAACUUUAACCUGAUACAUGCACUUUCAUUUUCUAUGUUCAGUGGACCGUGAAAUUGGGUCAAAAGUUUAAUUUGGCUUUAAAAUUAGAAAGAUCAUAUCAUAAGGAACAUGUGUACUAAGUUUCAAGUUGAUUGGACUUCAACUUCAUCAAAAACUACCUUGACCAAAAACUUUAACCUGAAGCGGGACAGACGGACGAACGAACGGACGGACGAACGAACGAACGGACAGACAGACGGAUGGACGAACGGACGCACAGACCAGAAAACAUAAUGCCCCUCUACUAUCGUAGGUGGGGCAUAAAAAUCUAAAAAUCAAAUUGAUAAUAAAUUGUCACUGGCUGCACUAUUUUCAAAAAUUAAAUAAAAAAACCUAAAUCAUUAACAAUUGAUCCCUCAAAUGCCCUAGAUUAAAAAUAUCCCUAUAUCAAAAACAGAAACUAUAGUAAUUUCGUUCAGAAAAAUUCAACAAUCAUACUAUAACUUAUUGUACAAGUUACGGAAAAAAAUCAACCAAGGCAGAACUGCCUCAACGGCCGAAACGUCUUGUUUACACAAAUUAAAAUUUUCUAGGUCCAUACCACAAGUUAUAUACUAAGAUCUACGAGUCAUCUACUGGAUUGGUCCUGGGCAGAUUUAUUUUCAUAUUUCAUUUACUGUUAUCUGUUAUUAUCCCUUUUCAAUUCCUUGUUAUCUGUUUUCCACCAAAUCAAUUCACUGUUUUGCUGUUAUGGGGACCCCCCUUGCCCCCCCUCAUUUAUGUAG